Molecule: long non-coding RNA, 659 nt
Organism: Herpailurus yagouaroundi (jaguarundi)
Lineage: Eukaryota; Metazoa; Chordata; Mammalia; Carnivora; Felidae
Exons: 3
Source: RefSeq, a predicted model, not a curated record
AGUAAUAGUCAAGCCUCUCCAGGAACAUGGAAGACAUCCCUGAGGGGCAACAUCCUCCAACAAUGGGAAGAGCCUUGGGACAGCCAGUACCCAGUGGAUCCUGGGAUAGGAUGGAGGGGACAGGGCUCUGGGGUGGCCAUGGCUACUGCUGCUGCCGCUGCUCUGAGCCUCGGGAUUCCAAGCUGUAGGUGAAGAGGAGAAACAAAAGUGACUGCUAGAUGGAGAGACCUUGACCACAGCCUGCUCUUCAAGUGUCAUGCUCUACUCCAGCCUGAAGGCCUGGCAGCGGAAACUUCCUGGAAGAUCCAGUGACUCUUCAAUGUGGCGAGCAUCAAGAGGUCGUUUGCACCCUAAGAAUCUUUGAAUCGCUGCCUCCACUGCCUCACCUUGCUGUUCCUAGCCAAUCCUGGAGUGUUGUAUUGCCAUCUGUCCCCAGUCCUGGUGCAGCCCCUGCUAUGCAAAGCCUGCCUUGAACUGAACUUCUCAAUAAAGUCUGACCUUGCCUUCCUCUAAGAUGCUGCCCGCAGCUCUGCCGAGGCGAUGUUCUCCCUGACCGCCACCAGCAAUAAACUCAGCUUUCUCUUCUCUGAAGGUCAUGUUGCUGAUAUUUGGGAAGCCAGCGGGCGACCAUGUAAUUAAAUCCACCUGUUUUCCCUUUA